UACGUAGGGUGCAAGCGUUGUCCGGAAUUAUUGGGCGUAAAGAGCUCGUAGGCGGUUUGUUGCGUCGGCUGUGAAAUCCCGAGGCUCAACCUCGGGUCUGCAGUCGGUACGAGCAAACUAGAGUGUUGCAGGGGAGACUGGAAUUCCUGGUGUAGCGGUGAAAUGCGUAGAUAUCAGGAGGAACACCGGUGGUGUAGACGGCUCACUGGACCAUAACUGACGCUGAGACACGAAAGCGUGGGUAGCAAACAGG
RNAcentral lists this ribosomal RNA (253 nucleotides) under uncultured bacterium. Its description in RNAcentral is "partial 16S ribosomal RNA". It matches the Rfam family "Bacterial small subunit ribosomal RNA", at positions 524 to 776 of the family's 1533-position model. The record is from RNAcentral.